This 301-nucleotide ribosomal RNA is filed under the name uncultured bacterium. RNAcentral describes it as "partial 16S ribosomal RNA". It matches the Rfam family "Bacterial small subunit ribosomal RNA", at positions 509 to 807 of the family's 1533-position model. The record is from RNAcentral.
CAGCCGCCACGGUAAGACAGAGGAUGCAAGCGUUAAUCGGAAUUACUGGGCGUAAAGCGUGCGUAGGUGGUGGUUUAAGUCCGUUGUGAAAGCCCUGGGCUCAACCUGGGAAUUGCAGUGGAUACUGGGUCACUAGAGUGUGGUAGAGGAUAGUGGAAUUUCCGGUGUAGCAGUGAAAUGCGUAGAGAUCGGAAGGAACAUCUGUGGCGAAGGCGACUAUCUGGGCCAACACUGACACUGAGGCACGAAAGCGUGGGGAGCAAACAGGAUUAGAUACCCCAGUAGUCCCUGUCUCUUAUAC